Molecule: ribosomal RNA, 584 nt
Filed under: uncultured bacterium
Lineage: Bacteria
Description: partial 16S ribosomal RNA
Rfam family: Bacterial small subunit ribosomal RNA
Source: RNAcentral
UGGGGAAUUUUGGACAAUGGGCGAAAGCCUGAUCCAGCAAUGCCGCGUGUGUGAAGAAGGCCUUCGGGUUGUAAAGCACUUUUGUCCGGAAAGAAAUCCUUGGCUCUAAUACAGUCGGGGGAUGACGGUACCGGAAGAAUAAGCACCGGCUAACUACGUGCCAGCAGCCGCGGUAAUACGUAGGGUGCAAGCGUUAAUCGGAAUUACUGGGCGUAAAGCGUGCGCAGGCGGUUUGCUAAGACCGAUGUGAAAUCCCCGGGCUCAACCUGGGAACUGCAUUGGUGACUGGCAGGCUAGAGUAUGGCAGAGGGGGGUAGAAUUCCACGUNUAGCAGUGAAAUGCGUAGAGAUGUGGAGGAAUACCGAUGGCGAAGGCAGCCCCCUGGGCAAUACUGACGCUCAUGCACGAAAGCGUGGGGAGCAAACAGGAUUAGAUACCCUGGUAGUCCACGCCCUAAACGAUGUCAACUAGUUGUUGGGGAUUCAUUUCCUUAGUAACGUAGCUAACGCGUGAAGUUGACCGCCUGGGGAGUACGGUCGCAAGAUUAAAACUCAAAUGAAUUGACGGGGUCAUAGCUGUUUCCU